Long non-coding RNA from Pyrus x bretschneideri (Chinese white pear), 982 nucleotides. RefSeq lists it as uncharacterized. The transcript has 2 exons. The record is from RefSeq and is a predicted model, not a curated record. NCBI's taxonomy places the organism in Eukaryota, Viridiplantae, Streptophyta, Magnoliopsida, Rosales, Rosaceae.
GUCAGUUUUUGCCCCUAACGACAAACCUCACUGUUGGUUCUACCUCUCCUCAGACCUCGCUGGUGCUUGCUUCAGCUCUGUGGUUUUCAACUCCAUGGCUUUUUUCAACUCACAGCAAGAAAACCACCACGAAAACCUUGCUUUUCAAGUCCAUGGUUUUUUUUUAUAUCUCAAAUUCUUUUUUUUUUUUUUGCUUGAUCUUAUGUUUGAUGGAGAUGUUGAAUGCAGGGUGGCUCGAUAAGGUUAUCUUGGGUUUGUCCUCUAAAGCUUCAUAAAACUCCUCAACAUCACAAACUUUUCCAAAUUGCUUGAAAUCAAUCGGCAACAUCGCCAUCAUCCUUCAUCUGCACCAAAUGCCAUUCCAAUUACUAAAAAUGUAAUUGAUGGCCAAUACCAAGUAAUAGGUGUAAUCAAAUUAUAAAUUUUGUGUGGAAUUAACAGAUUUCAUAGAAGAAGGAGGAGAGAAAAACAAGACAUGGGAAAUGAGAGCUUGCCCCGGCGUCAUGGAGAAGAAACCGAUGAGCGAGUAUGUGAGAUUGAGCCAUGGCUUGUCAUCGCCGAGCUCGAUUUGUGCAAAGUAGAAGAGCCAGAGUUUGAAGGUAUUAAAUUGUCCUCAUUUGUUGUAAGCGAUCUCAGUUUAGCAAAUUGGCAGGCAACCUGAAGGAGAUUGCAUGCCCCUCACUGCAGUGUGACUUGGACCGACUCAUCCUAUAAGAAUUGCUUUACAAAUUGUCAUACUUACAAUCAAAUAUGUCCCUAGCUAUGCAAAUUAUAUGUCUUUGCAAUUUGUAAAAUUGAAAGCCCCUGCAUAAAAACCCUAAAUUAAUAGAGCAUUCAAACAAAUUAGUAAAAGAUGCAAAUCCUAUACUUUAACAUUAGAGUAAAAGUUAUUUACUUAUUUAUCUAGCAUAUGAGCGCGUUGCAUUUGUAAUUAAAAAAAACAGUUAAUUAUAAUUCAAAAGAAUCAUAUUAUUAAGGGAAA